This 72-nucleotide transfer RNA is filed under the name Marmota marmota marmota (Alpine marmot). It matches the Rfam family "tRNA". Rfam says of the family: Transfer RNA (tRNA) molecules are approximately 80 nucleotides in length. RNAcentral also lists the same sequence under 4 other names. The record is from Rfam by way of RNAcentral. Lineage: Eukaryota; Metazoa; Chordata; Mammalia; Rodentia; Sciuridae.
GAGAUUAUAGCUCAGUGGUAGAGUGCUUACCUACCAUGUAUAAGGCCCUGGGUUCAAUCCCCGGCACUACCA